Molecule: transfer RNA, 58 nt
Filed under: Urocitellus parryii (Arctic ground squirrel)
Lineage: Eukaryota; Metazoa; Chordata; Mammalia; Rodentia; Sciuridae
Also listed under: 1 other name
Description: Spermophilus parryii (Arctic ground squirrel) tRNA
Rfam family: tRNA
About the family: Transfer RNA (tRNA) molecules are approximately 80 nucleotides in length.
Source: Rfam by way of RNAcentral
UAGUUCAGCCGUUAGAACACUUGCCUAGUAUGCAUGAGGCCCUGGGUUUGAUUCCCAG